GGAGGCAGCACUGUGGAUCAUGUGUUAGACCCGGAAACAUGAGGCCCCGAGUUCAAUCCCAGGCAGCACAAAUGUGGAGUGAAGCUCUGGUUCUCUCUCUCUUGUUGUUAAAUAAACCCUUUGGGGGUCGGGCUGUAGCGCAGCGGGUUAAGCGCAGGUGGCGCAAAGCACAAGGACCGGCAUAAGGAUCCCGGUUCGAACCCCGGCUCCCCACCUGCAGGGGAGUCGCUUCACAGGCGGUGAAGCAGGUCUGCAGGUGUCUUUCUCUCCUCCUCUCUGUCUUCCCCUCCUCUCUCCAUUUCUCUCUGUCCUAUCCAACAAUGACAACAACAAUAAUAACUACAACAAUAAAACAACAAGGGCAACAAAAGGGAAUAAAUAAAUAAAAUAAAUAUUUUUU
Erinaceus europaeus (western European hedgehog) is the source of this 400-nucleotide long non-coding RNA. RefSeq lists it as uncharacterized. The record is from RefSeq and is a predicted model, not a curated record. The transcript has 2 exons. Lineage: Eukaryota; Metazoa; Chordata; Mammalia; Eulipotyphla; Erinaceidae.